Molecule: non-coding RNA, 382 nt
Organism: Loktanella sp. 1ANDIMAR09
Lineage: Bacteria; Pseudomonadati; Pseudomonadota; Alphaproteobacteria; Rhodobacterales; Roseobacteraceae
Source: Rfam
GCGGAUGGCUGGAUGGCUGCGGUCUCGGACUUGAUCCGGGAUCGAGGAAAGUCCGGACUCCAAAAAGCACGGUGCCGGGUAACGCCCGGCGGGGGUAACCCUAGGGAAAGCGCCACAGAGAACAGGUGGCCUGGCAUGUUCAGGUCAAAGUGAAACGGUGGGGUAAGAGCCCACCGCGCGAGCGGUAACGCAAGCGGCACGGCAAGCCCCACCGGGAGCAAUGCCAAAUAGGGACCUCGCGUCGCAAGACGGGGAUGCUUGAGCCCCAGACGGUCCGGGUUGGCAGCUAGAGGGUGUCUGGUAACAGGCACUCCAGAUGAAUGGUCAUCCAUCCGUGGGCAACCGCGGGGGACAGAAUCCGGCUUAUAGGCCAUCCGCGCAU